CCUACGGGAGGCAGCAGUGGGGAAUAUUGCACAAUGGGGGAAACCCUGAUGCAGCAACGCCGCGUGAAGGAAGACGGCUUUCGGAUUGUAAACUUCUGUUCUUAGUGAAGAAGAAUGACGGUAGCUAAGGCGCAAGCCACGGCUAACUACGUGCCAGCAGCCGCGGUAAUACGUAGGGGGCAAGCGUUGUCCGGAAUUACUGGGUGUAAAGGGAGCGCAGGCGGGAAGCCAAGUCAGCUGGGAAAACUACGGGCUUAACUUGUAGACUGCAGUUGAAACUGGUGUUCUUGAGUGAAGUAGAGGUUGGCGGAAUGCCGAGUGUAGCGGUGAAAUGCGUAGAUAUUCGGAGGAACACCGGUGGCGAAGGCGGCAAACUGGGCUUUAACUGACGCUGAGGCUCGAAAGUGUGGGGAGCAAACAGGAUUAGAUACCCGGGUAGUC
RNAcentral lists this ribosomal RNA (441 nucleotides) under uncultured bacterium. Its description in RNAcentral is "partial 16S ribosomal RNA". It matches the Rfam family "Bacterial small subunit ribosomal RNA", at positions 338 to 795 of the family's 1533-position model. The record is from RNAcentral.